GGAGGGUGCAAGCGUUAUCCGGAUUCACUGGGUUUAAAGGGUGCGUAGGUGGGUUGGUAAGUCAGUGGUGAAAUCCCCGAGCUUAACUUGGGAACUGCCAUUGAUACUAUCAGUCUUGAAUACCGUGGAGGUCAGCGGAAUAUGUCAUGUAGCGGUGAAAUGCUUAGAUAUGACAUAGAACACCAAUUGCGAAGGCAGCUGGCUACACGAAUAUUGACACUGAGGCACGAAAGCGUGGGGAUCAAACAGGAUUAGAUACCCUGGUAGUCCACGCCCUAAACUAUGGAUACUCGACAUACGCGAUACACUGUGUGUGUCUGAGCGAAAGCAUUAAGUAUCCCACCUGGGAAGUACGAUCGCAAGAUUGAA
Molecule: ribosomal RNA, 369 nt
Filed under: uncultured bacterium
Lineage: Bacteria
Description: bacterial SSU rRNA
Rfam family: Bacterial small subunit ribosomal RNA
Source: RNAcentral